GGCGGGCUAAUACCGGAUGUGAUGGUUUAGCGUAUGCUGGAUUGAUCAAAGGCGGGGACCUUCGGGCCUGCCGCUUGAAGAGGAGCCCAUGUCCCAUCAGCUAGUUGGCAGGGUAACGGCCUACCAAGGCUUACGGGUAGCUGGUCUGAGAGGAUGGUCAGCCACACUGGGACUGAGACACUGCCCAGACUCCUACGGGAGGCUGCAGUCGAGGAUCUUUUGCAAUGGGCGCAAGCCUGACAAAGCGACGCUGCGUGGAGGAUGAAGGCCUUCGGGUUGUAAACUCCUGUCAUCCGGGAAAAACCGUUGUCUGGUGAAUAAUCAGGCAAUUUGAUGGUACCGGAAGAGGAAGCCACGGCCAACUCUGUGCCAGCAGCCGCGGUAAUACAGAGGUGGCGAGCGUUGUUCGGAUUUACUGGGCGUAAAGGGUGCGUAGGUGGCAUGGCGUGUCGGGCGUUAAAUCCCACGGCUUAACCGUGGAACGCCGUCCGAAACUGCCGUGCUAGAGUUCAGGAAAGGAGAGCGGAAUUCUUGGUGUAGCGGUGAAAUGCGCUGAUAUCAAGAAGAACACCAGCGGCGAAGGCGGCUCUCUGGAAUGCAACUGACACUGAGGCACGAAAGCUGGGGGAGCAAACAGGAUUAGAUACCCUGGUAGUCCCAGCCCUAAACGGUGUGAACUUGGCGUGGGGGGAAUUGACCCCCCCCGUGCCGAAGCUAACGCGUUAAGUUCACCGCCUGGGGAGUACGAUCGCAAGAUUAAAACUCAAAGAAAUUGACGGGGGCCCGCACAAGCGGAGGAGCAUGUGGCUCAAUUCGAUCAACGCGAAGAACCUUACCAGGGCUUGACAUGUAGGUCACGCCCGCCGAAAGGCGGGAAGCCUUCGAGGGUCCUACACAGGUGCUGCAUGGCUGUCGUCAGUUCGUGCCGUGAGGUGUUGGGUUAAGUCCCGCAACGAACGCAACCCUUGUGCUUAGUUGCCAACGCGGGUGAUGAAUCCGCGGGAACUCUAGGCAGACUGCCCGUGUAAGCGGGAGGAAGGUGGGGAUGACGUCAAGUCAGUAUGGCCUUUAUGCCCUGGGCUGCACACGUGCUACAAUGGCUGGUACAGAAGGAAGCGAAACCGCGAGGUGAAGCAAAUCCCCAAAACCAGCCCCAGUUCAGAUUGAAGUCUGCAACUCAACUUCAUGAAGUCGAGUUGCAGACU
Molecule: ribosomal RNA, 1205 nt
Filed under: metagenome
Description: bacterial SSU rRNA
Rfam family: Bacterial small subunit ribosomal RNA
Source: RNAcentral